GACGAACGCUGGCGGCGUGCUUAGCACAUGCAAGUCGAACGGAAAGGCCCUGCUUUUGUGGGGUGCUCGAGUGCGAACGGGUGAGUAACACGUGAGUAACCUGCCCUUGACUUUGGGAUAACUUCAGGAAACUGGGGCUAAUACCGGAUAGGAGCUCCUGCUGCAUGGUGGGGGUUGGAAAGUUUCGGCGGUUGGGGAUGGACUCGCGGCUUAUCAGCUUGUUGGUGGGGUAGUGGCUUACCAAGGCUUUGACGGGUAGCCGGCCUGAGAGGGUGACCGGCCACAUUGGGACUGAGAUACGGCCCAGACUCCUACGGGAGGCAGCAGUGGGGAAUAUUGCACAAUGGGCGGAAGCCUGAUGCAGCAACGCCGCGUGCGGGAUGACGGCCUUCGGGUUGUAAACCGCUUUCGCCUGUGACGAAGCGUGAGUGACGGUAAUGGGUAAAGAAGCACCGGCUAACUACGUG
RNAcentral lists this ribosomal RNA (467 nucleotides) under uncultured bacterium. Its description in RNAcentral is "partial 16S ribosomal RNA". It matches the Rfam family "Bacterial small subunit ribosomal RNA", at positions 28 to 507 of the family's 1533-position model. The record is from RNAcentral.